RNAcentral lists this ribosomal RNA (253 nucleotides) under uncultured bacterium. RNAcentral's name for it is "partial 16S ribosomal RNA". It matches the Rfam family "Bacterial small subunit ribosomal RNA", at positions 524 to 776 of the family's 1533-position model. The record is from RNAcentral.
UACGGAGGGUCCGAGCGUUAUCCGGAAUCAUUGGGUUUAAAGGGUCCGCAGGCGGUUCAUUAAGUCAGAGGUGAAAUCCUACCGCUCAACGGUAGCAUUGCCUUUGAUACUGAUGGACUUGAGUUAUAGUGAAGUAGUUAGAAUGUGUAGUGUAGCGGUGAAAUGCAUAGAUAUUACACAGAAUACCGAUUGCGAAAGCAGAUUACUAACUGUAUACUGACGCUGAGGGACGAAAGCGUGGGUAGCGAACAGG